RNAcentral lists this transfer RNA (88 nucleotides) under Candidatus Margulisiibacteriota bacterium. Its description in RNAcentral is "tRNA-Leu". It matches the Rfam family "tRNA". From Rfam's summary of the family: Transfer RNA (tRNA) molecules are approximately 80 nucleotides in length. Their secondary structure includes four short double-helical elements and three loops (D, anti-codon, and T loops). Lineage: Bacteria; Bacillati; Candidatus Margulisiibacteriota. The record is from RNAcentral.
GCCGAAGUGGCGGAAUUGGUAGACGCGUUGGUCUCAAAAACCAAUGGGACAUGCUCCCGUGCCGGUUCGAUUCCGGCCUUCGGCACCA